UGCAAUUUGCUGUACCAAAAAUGGCGACCGCUGCCUCAACUAUCUCGCUAAAGCCUAAAGCAUCAAUAGCUACCUCCAUUUCCAAACCCUCCCUUUCUUUCUCAUCUCCUCGGUCUAUAAAACUCCCCUCUAUUCAUCCACACUCAACCUUCAAACCGCUCACCUCCAACGCGCGUUCUGUCCUCGUUCCACGCUCCACCGCCACUCCCUCUUCCACCACUUCCACAAUCGCAACCACUUUUCAUGGACUCUGCUACGUUGUUGGAGACAACAUCGACACCGACCAAAUAAUUCCCGCCGAGUAUCUAACCCUUGUACCUUCAAACCCAGCCGAAUACGAAAAGCUUGGCUCUUAUGCCUUAAUUGGCCUUCCAGCCUCUUAUGAAACCAGGUUCAUUGAACCGGGUGAAACGAAGACCAAAUACUCAAUAGUGAUUGGAGGCGAUAAUUUUGGAUGCGGAUCAUCG
Molecule: long non-coding RNA, 467 nt
Filed under: Jatropha curcas
Lineage: Eukaryota; Viridiplantae; Streptophyta; Magnoliopsida; Malpighiales; Euphorbiaceae
Description: long non-coding RNA (JCUR_LNC001020)
Source: RNAcentral